This is a long non-coding RNA of Felis catus (domestic cat), 1690 nucleotides long. RefSeq lists it as uncharacterized. Lineage: Eukaryota; Metazoa; Chordata; Mammalia; Carnivora; Felidae. The record is from RefSeq and is a predicted model, not a curated record. The transcript has 3 exons.
GUCAGCAGUAAGUGCUGUGAAGAAAAGAACACAGGUGCUCUGGUGUAUUGGGAGGUCAGAGGCCGAGAAGGCCUGGUGUGUUAAUUUUCUAGGGCUGCCGGCUCGAAUCACCACCAGCUGUGUGGCUUAACACAAUUAGAGCUUCAUUUUCUAUUCGCAGAAAUCAAGUGAUUAAUUACGUUUUGGAGGCUAGAGUCCAAAAUCAAGGUAUUGACAGAGCUGCGCUCCCUCUGAAGGUCCUGGGGAAGAACCCUUCCUUGCGUCUUCCCCGCGCGGGGUGGUCCUGGCAACGCCGGACACGCAUGUCUGUGGAGCACGGGACAGCGCGUGAGUGGCACCGGUAAAGGCCACUGCCCCGAGGAAGAACGGAGAUCAGAGGGACUCGGACACAAGAUCCGGCUCUUGGGAAGAGAGGUUGCAGCAGAUGCAUGAACUAGAGAGGACACGUUAGUACCACGUGCUGGCCCCUUGUAGCCUGGAGCUGAUUCCACAGAGGACCUUGCUGUCUGCAAUGUGCUAUCACUUUAAGUCAUGCGUCAAAAUACAGCAGCAAGACAGAAGAUUUCCCCCAGCUCCUAUGCCUUUUAUUUGCAUCAUGGCAUUGAAAACCUUCUUCUCGGUCAGUAUGUAGAUUUAACGAAAUUACCAGAUACAUAAAACAAAUGGUUGUUGGUAUCUUGUUCAAAUACAAACUAGACCUUGCCCGCCUAUCUGUAUAUUUGGCAAAAAGCACAAAUGUAAAUUUUGACAAAUUCUAUUUAGCCUACAAACUUUUUACCCAAGCAAAUGAAAAGAUAUUAUCUGGUAAGUGUUCUGCACACCUUGUACACAGCACUGCUAAAAAAUAAUUGUGUUUGUUUCCUCGUGAUAUUGAAGCUGUUGUGGUUUUUGGAGCUUUAUGGUCACUGUGUAGUUUCUUCAAAAUAUGCAGAAGAACUGAAUGAGAUUUCCGACUUCAUAGAAAUGGACCGAGGCAUGUGCCUCCCAGAUGGCUAUUGUGUGCCAUCUGCCAUAGGAAAAAAUGUCGAACCGCUGGCUUCCUGUAAAACCUUCACUUUCAAAGUGUGAGAAUAUCCUCUAAUUUGGAAACACUUUGAAGGGGAGAGUAGCGAAAAGGACCAAAAUAAAACAGAAAUUUAUAUGCUCUUUCUCCAACAUUGUUCGAUGGUAUGAUGUAGAUUGUGACAAAAGUUUAUACACACAUGCAGACACAGACUCGUGUUGAGGGGAAAUAACACUGCUUUGGAAAGAAAGAAAAUGUUCACAGGAAAGGGCAGCCAAACAGGUGAAAUGGGACUUUUUUUAUUUAUUUACUAAAAGUAUAACUUAUUUAAAAUCAAGUUUUAUUUCACAAGUUCAGAUUACUGCUGUGUUUUUGGGCUCUGCGCUGACAGUGCAAAUGGACCCCGCUUGGGAUUCUCUCUCUCUGCCCUCCCCCAACUUGCUGUCUUUCAAGAUAAAUAAACAAACAAAUAAAAGAAAAGCAAAUUACUGCUGUGUUUUUAUCAAGAUGAGGACAAAUGCAGAAGGAGCAGCUCUGUAGGCUGGAGAGCAGAUCAAGGCAUCUGUGAGCACAUGCCUUUUAGACGUUCAGUGGAGGAGACAUCAGUCACAUCACUGACUACACUCGGUGGGAAAUGGGGUUGGAGGUCUAAGUAUGGGAAGCAUCAGGGCAGAGGGUUCUUACCGU